UACGUAGGGGGCUAGCGUUGUCCGGAAUCAUUGGGCGUAAAGAGCGCGUAGGCGGCCCGGUAAGUCGGUUGUGAAAGUCAAGGGCUCAACCCUUGAAAGCCGACCGAUACUGUCGGGCUAGAAUCCGGAAGAGGCGAGUGGAAUUCCUGGUGUAGCGGUGAAAUGCGCAGAUAUCAGGAGGAACACCGAUGGCGAAGGCAGCUCGCUGGGACGGUAUUGACGCUGAGACGCGAAAGCGUGGGGAGCAAACAGG
Molecule: ribosomal RNA, 253 nt
Filed under: uncultured bacterium
Lineage: Bacteria
Description: partial 16S ribosomal RNA
Rfam family: Bacterial small subunit ribosomal RNA
Source: RNAcentral